UACGUAGGGGGCAAGCGUUAUCCGGAUUUACUGGGUGUAAAGGGAGCGUAGACGGCAGCGCAAGUCUGGAGUGAAAUCCCAUGGCUUAACCAUGGAACUGCUUUGGAAACUGUGCAGCUGGAGUGCAGGAGAGGUAAGCGGAAUUCCUGGUGUAGCGGUGAAAUGCGUAGAUAUCAGGAGGAACACCGGCGGCGAAGGCGGCUUACCAGUCUGCGACUGACGCUCAGGCACGAAAGUGUGGGUAUCGAACAGG
Molecule: ribosomal RNA, 253 nt
Filed under: uncultured Eubacteriales bacterium
Lineage: Bacteria; Bacillati; Bacillota; Clostridia; Eubacteriales
Description: uncultured Clostridiales bacterium partial 16S ribosomal RNA
Rfam family: Bacterial small subunit ribosomal RNA
Source: RNAcentral